UUAAUAUCAAUGUUUUAAGGUGCUUCUAAAUGAAGAGAAUAGGGAAAAAGGUUUAAAACCUUUACAGCCACCGCUACUGUGAGUAGGGAUGAAAUCUAGUGAACACUGGCGUAUUGCUGGGAAGUUUAGAGAGUAAGUUAAUCUAUUAGUCAGGAGACCUGCCUUAAAAUAAUUAACAAC
This 180-nucleotide non-coding RNA is filed under the name Clostridium magnum. RNAcentral also lists the same sequence under 1 other name. Lineage: Bacteria; Bacillati; Bacillota; Clostridia; Eubacteriales; Clostridiaceae. The record is from RNAcentral.